This 73-nucleotide transfer RNA is filed under the name Stegodyphus mimosarum. It matches the Rfam family "tRNA". From Rfam's summary of the family: Transfer RNA (tRNA) molecules are approximately 80 nucleotides in length. Their secondary structure includes four short double-helical elements and three loops (D, anti-codon, and T loops). Lineage: Eukaryota; Metazoa; Arthropoda; Arachnida; Araneae; Eresidae. The record is from Rfam by way of RNAcentral.
GCCUUCGUGGUGUAAUGGUCAGCACACUGAGCCGGUAAUUCAGAGGUCAGCGGUUCGAUCCCCGGCGAAGGCA